Molecule: ribosomal RNA, 2713 nt
Filed under: Amphidinium carterae
Lineage: Eukaryota; Dinophyceae; Amphidiniales; Amphidiniaceae
Description: 23S ribosomal RNA
Rfam family: Bacterial large subunit ribosomal RNA (bases 270-2540)
Source: RNAcentral
UUUGGAAUCUCAGCUCGAUUCUCAUAGGGAGAUGAAUGAAAUUAACGAGAAGAAUGAAUGAUGAACGAUGAGACAAGGACGAAGUAAUAUGUAGAAACGACAACAACAAGGUAAUAAAGAUGCAAAGGAGCGCGCUACCACGCGAAACAAGCCAUUAGGCAGUUCUCCUAUCCCCUCCGAACGAAUACCUUUUAGUAAGAGGGUGAAACAGUGACACAAAGCCGGUGAGGCCGUCACGCGUACUUCAUACCACAUGAGUGAUGAGUACUGUUAAACAUACCCAGGCGUGAGCCAACAAUGCAAAGAACCCUGAGAAGGGAGUGAAAUAGAACUUGCAACAAUUCUGCUUAAUCUAACGAGCACUGCUUGUGGAAGAAAGCGAGAACAAAUCAGAAGAUAGACUAGUGGUCUGUCCUGAGUCCGAAUGCCUAUGAUCUAACCCUGGAAAGGCUGCACUCUUUAUGAGUUUCAAGGCCGAUGUGAGGAGUUAUUCGAAACUGUCACUGGAUCUGGGGUUGGGGCUAAAUGUCAAUCGUAUAGCUUAAUAUCUGGUUGCGUUCGAAAGAUCUAUAGCAAUAGACAAGAAGUAGACCCGCUUCCUCCUUUAGAAGGUGCGUAGAUCGCUGUGGGCAACAUAAUGUAUUAACGGUCAAAUUGUAGGAACCUGUAAGUGCAUUCCACAGUGAGAAGGUCGGUGUGGUCCCUUAGGGGAUACCCUGAUCAGUAAAUCCCAUUCAAGAUUAAGUUCGUUGCUAAUGGUUAAGUAGGACCGAAUAGGUCCGAAGGUAAAACUUGUCACUGCGCUGCACUGAAAGAAGGUUCACCGUUAAGUCUUCGGUGGCCAUCGAAACCUCUCGAGGAUAUCUUUGGCUUCGUAAAAACAAGCAAACGUUAGUCGGAGUUCCAUCUCUGCCCCCUUUGAUUAGGGCCCCUUCUGGGGAACGAGUCGCCCACAUAACAACUGGUAUCGACAAUGUUCAUUCAAUGGCUGCGUCAUGAAGGUUCCAGGUAGUGUCUCUAUUCGGUUAGGAUGGGUAUAAACUUUAUCUAACAAGAGGGCAACAACCCCUAGGCUGUACUAAGGCGUUCCAUACGCAUUGAGUGCUUAGCUGCCGUCGGUGCUUUAAUCACACCUUACAAGUCGCAUUAGCAGUAUGCAUCUUCUUACGAGUGUCCACCAACUUAUAAGGUUUACACCGCGGUAGUCUACAUUCUCAGUGAAUGCGUAGCCGACGUACGCCACCUUGGUAGAACGCCGUACCCUUCCUGUGCCUUUGGCAGGGAUAAAAGGGUAGUGAUACUGUUCUCUUGAGUAGCUCAGGGUCACCAGAAAGACCCGCGUUAAUCCACCUUGGUUAUUCCGCUGUCCGACAUGAAUAGGGGAUGCAACGCCUAACUUCCUUGUAAUACAUGGUAACGAAGGGCCCUCACGUAUGAUUCCUGACUCCAUACACUUUCUACCUUCGGGUAAUUGGUCCAAGUACUGCCUUUGCCUUCUGGCACGUAGGCAUGUUGUCUUCUAACACAGGCUGGGCUCAAUAAUGAAACGUACAUGGCUAACUGGCGUAAUGAAUUUGACAACCGAGUUAUGAAACCUAGGGAUAAUAAUCGUGUUCAUCAAGCGACUGUUUAACAAAAACACAGGUGUAGGUUACGACGAUCUUUGGCUCUGCGCCGACAUGUGAUCAGUGCUUCAAUAGAGUAAACAUCGGCGGUAACUGUAACCGUCCAAAGGUAGCGAAAUUCCUUGUCAGCUAAAUACUGACCUGCAUGAAACAUAGAACGACUAGAUGGGUGUCUUACGCAAGUUUAAUGGUGAAAUGACACUGGACGUGAAGAUGCGUUCGUUGGGAACAUGACAAGAAGACCCUCAGGAGCUUUAUACGCAAACUAGCGGUACUGUGAUCUGUUUCGGCUACGGUGGUAUACCUCUGUUGCCAUGCAGCAUCACUUUACCAUUCAAUCAGGUGAGGUUCCGUUAGACGGUUUGAUUGGGGCGAUCACCUUCUUUACUCAACGAGAGGUUAACAAAGGAUGGCAAACCCGUCAUGAAAGCGGUACUACACGUAGAAAGGUAGAACCAAUCCUGAGAGCUAGAAGUUAUUCAAUCUAGGCACAAUAGCUGUCUUACUGAUCUUGAAAGCAACUUAAAGGAUAAAAGUUACCCAAGGGAUAACAGGCUUAAUGGGAACAAGAGUUCUUAUCGACUUCCCGUCUUGGCACCUCGAUGUCGGCUUACCUUUUCCAUGAGAGGCACAAGGCUCAAGGGUGGAGGUGCUCACUCCAUUCUAAGGUACACGAGCUGGGUUCAGAACGAUGUAAAUCAGUUUGGUCUAUAUCUAUUCCCUGCCAUUUAUUGGCAUAUACAGCUGGGGUCACGGUAUCUAGUACGCAAGGACCGAUACAUAGCUAGCUCCCCAAUAACGCCUAGUUACACGGUUAUCACUGUUCGAAGAUAAGUGAAAGUAAGGCUCUCGGCUGCAUACCCGACUGGGUGGCUGGUCAUAGGAACGAUUAGUUAGUUAAAUGGUGUUCAAUCUAAGGUAAUAAUAUUAAUAAGAACGGUAAACAAAGGUUAUCAAAACGUACGAAGGAUAACGAAGGGUAUGGAUCUCUCCUUCAAUAACCUAGGACAAAUGUUGUCAAUGUUGUCUGCAACAGAUCUAAUGGUCUUUUUAAACAUUCUGGUCAAACUAGUCAAUUUGGGUGCGAG